CCUCACACACCAACUGCCUAUAAGCCACCUCGGAUGAUGAGACGUCUUUCAAAGAAGCAUUUACUGCCACCUUUUGAUCCACCUGAUAU
Molecule: small RNA, 89 nt
Filed under: Arabidopsis thaliana (thale cress)
Lineage: Eukaryota; Viridiplantae; Streptophyta; Magnoliopsida; Brassicales; Brassicaceae
Description: ATSL086350
Source: RNAcentral